AUGUAUUUUUUGUUACAUAAUUAUUUUUUAAAAGCAAGCGGGGAAAGCACUCCGUGUUUCCGACCUCCGCAGUUGGUACCCGAAGCCCUCCCUGUCUCUUGCGUGACCCCUCCCUCUCCACCCUUAUCUUCAUUAUCCUGUUUGCGUCAUUUUGGUUCCAAAUCCUGUUCCUCUAGAUCCCCGACCCAACCACCCUCAGGCACACAGACGCUUCGAGAAGGACGGAGGCACAGCCAGCCGCGUUCUGGGGAGCACAGAGGCGGGAUAUUCGGGACUAAGAAGGGAUCCAACCAGCAGCCCCUGCAUUGGGAGGAUGGAGUCUUAACCACUGGACCACCUGGGAAGUCCCAGGAAUCACGAUUUCUUAGCCGCCACGCAGUGUGUAUCUGCCAGUCCCACAUGCGUCCUGUUAACUGGAGUCAGCUGCCUGAAGGCCAAUCGCCUCCACACCGGCAGACGAGACUGAGUUCCUGGACCCAAGAAGGCCUCCGCAGCGCCGUCCUUCCAGGGCUGUGCCGAGAUGCGGGGCGAUCACAGGUGAGGACUCUGUCACGAGGCUCAGCUCCAAGGAGGCCCAAAUAA
RNAcentral lists this long non-coding RNA (582 nucleotides) under Capra hircus (goat). RNAcentral's name for it is "lncRNA (ENSCHIG00010003234.1)". The record is from RNAcentral. Lineage: Eukaryota; Metazoa; Chordata; Mammalia; Artiodactyla; Bovidae.